RNAcentral lists this unclassified non-coding RNA (215 nucleotides) under Ascomycota sp. RNAcentral's name for it is "partial contains small subunit ribosomal RNA, internal transcribed spacer 1, and 5.8S ribosomal RNA". The stretch from base 1 to 47 matches the Rfam family "Eukaryotic small subunit ribosomal RNA", at positions 1785 to 1831 of the family's 1831-position model. Lineage: Eukaryota; Fungi; Ascomycota. The record is from RNAcentral.
AAAGUCGUAACAAGGUCUCCGUUGGUGAACCAGCGGAGGGAUCAUUACAGAGUGCCCCUGGCUCUGCCAACCCCGCGAACCCUACAGCGUUGCCUCGGCGGUGCGCCCACCAGCGCCCGCCGCAGGCCCCUACAAACCCCACAAGCAGCCGCCGUGUCGCUGACUACAUCAUAACAAAUCGUUAAAAACUUUCAACAACGGAUCUCUUGGCUCCG